Molecule: ribosomal RNA, 215 nt
Filed under: uncultured bacterium
Lineage: Bacteria
Description: partial 16S ribosomal RNA
Rfam family: Bacterial small subunit ribosomal RNA
Source: RNAcentral
CAACGUGGGUAAUCUGCCCUCAAGUGGGGAAUAACGCUGCGAAAGCAGUGCUAAUACCGCAUAAGCUCGCUACGCAAGUAGCGCGUAAAGCUAAGGCGCUUGAGGAGGAACCCGCGGUUGAUUAGCUAGAUGGUGGGGUAACGGCCUACCAUGGCGAUGAUCGAUAGCCGGCCUGAGAGGGCUGACGGCCACACUGGGACUGAGACACGGCCCAG